This 463-nucleotide ribosomal RNA is filed under the name uncultured bacterium. RNAcentral describes it as "partial 16S ribosomal RNA". It matches the Rfam family "Bacterial small subunit ribosomal RNA", at positions 28 to 505 of the family's 1533-position model. The record is from RNAcentral.
GACGAACGCUGGCGGCGUGCUUAACACAUGCAAGUCGUACGGUAAGGCCCUUUCGGGGGUACCCGGGUGGCGCACGGGUGAGUAACACGUGAGUAACCUGCCCACAACUUUGGGAUAACGCUAGGAAACUGGUGCUAAUACUGGAUAUGUGCUCCUGCUGCAUGGUGGGGGUUGGAAAGCUCCGGCGGUUGUGGAUGGACUCGCGGCCUAUCAGCUUGUUGGUGGGGUAGUGGCCUACCAAGGCGGCGACGGGUAGCCGGCCUGAGAGGGUGACCGGCCACAUUGGGACUGAGAUACGGCCCAGACUCCUACGGGAGGCAGCAGUGGGGAAUAUUGCACAAUGGGCGCAAGCCUGAUGCAGCAACGCCGCGUGCGGGAUGACGGCCUUCGGGUUGUAAACCGCUUUCAGCAGGGACGAAGCUUUUUGUGACGGUACCUGCAGAAGAAGCACCGGCUAACUACG